This 72-nucleotide transfer RNA is filed under the name Heliconius melpomene (postman butterfly). RNAcentral describes it as "tRNA HMEL014318". It matches the Rfam family "tRNA". Rfam says of the family: Transfer RNA (tRNA) molecules are approximately 80 nucleotides in length. Their secondary structure includes four short double-helical elements and three loops (D, anti-codon, and T loops). The record is from RNAcentral. Lineage: Eukaryota; Metazoa; Arthropoda; Insecta; Lepidoptera; Nymphalidae.
UAACGUAUGGCUUAGUGGCCAGAGCGCGUGGACGGUUUCCAAGAGGCGUGGGUUAAAAUCCUGCUUCGUUAU